Lagopus muta (rock ptarmigan) is the source of this 1656-nucleotide long non-coding RNA. RefSeq lists it as uncharacterized. The transcript is spliced from 3 exons. The record is from RefSeq and is a predicted model, not a curated record. Lineage: Eukaryota; Metazoa; Chordata; Aves; Galliformes; Phasianidae.
ACGCGGGCUGUGUUACACAGCCCUCCUUGCUUGAAGCACAUUAAGCAGCACAAGCACCAGUCUGGAGCUGACAGAAGCCUUACUAAGCACAUGGCUGCUGAAACAACAGAACGUGCCACCAGCCCUACUCUUUUCACUCUGUGACGUUCUCAGUUUCUAGGCUAGGAUGGAGGAGGACUGUGCCCAGGACAGAUGCCUGCAGGAGCAGGGAGAAUUAUGGAGAACCUUGAGGGCAUUUCCUGCCACUCAGCAUUCCAGUAACUGCCACAGGGAUGGAUAACUAUGGAACAGGAUCACAAGAUGUAGCAGCAAGGAGCGAGAUGUGAACUCACCACCUGUACCAACCAGAACUGUAUCUAAAAACAAGGUUUACAAAGUUGAGGAGCAUGGUAGUUUUGCUUUAGGACAAGGAGGCAAAAUUCACACCAAGGUUCACCUGUACUACUGAACAUGGCAAUGGAAAGGGCUUUCCAUCCUCAUCCAUUAUUUCCACAUCUGUUUCCUAUGACGAAGCCAGAACAGGGACAGGCAGCAUUUGCAAGCCAUGGGGUGGCACCCUGGGGAACUGGCUGACACUCUUCCACCUGGACAAAGUAUUUGGGAAGCUGAAAUGGAUGGAUGGAUGCCUUCUUCCUCACAGUACAACCCUAGAUUUGCUUCUUGACCUAUUAUAUUUAAGCUAGCAUAAUGGCAAGAGUAAAAUAAAUCACAUUCAAGCUAGCUUUUUAAUUGAGCUAUGACAGGAAGGAUUGGGACUUCCAGCUGCUUCUUGUGAUGUAGUUAAAAGGAGAAAAUACUGCAGCAUUUUUUCACCGAAGUCUCAGUAAUAAUUAUACUGCAAUCAAGGAAAGUGAGCACAGUAGGUAGAAAUACCACACAGGAACAGAAAACGGUUCUUAAUCCCAAAGUCAGAUUUCACACUUUCAUCCUCACGUUUUUCAUAGAAAGAUUAACACAGACAGUAAGUGAUGGUGUUUCCUGCCAAAUCAACCCCAGGAAAUACAGGAAUCCCAGUCACUGCAAAUUACAUCUCACCGGAUUUCCAGCACAAAACAGAGGCAGUAAAUUCCCUAUUCCCUGUUUGUCAAAAAUGAACACCAGUGCCACUGAAGCUUGACCAGGAAAGGCAAAUAACACUCCCCAACAGAAAGGAACUAGAAGGACAUCUGUGCUAACGCUUUGCCUUAUCUCCCAUACUCGUUAUUUAAGCCUAGAAUAAAACGAGUUCUAAGAUUUGGAUUUGAUCAGAAAUGGCGUGUUGCCAUCAGGGCAGUUCAUCCAGGCUCAAGGAGGUGACUUGGGAAUAAUUUGGGAUAAGGAACCUCAGCUUAAUUCCUGGGAGAAUAAGUGUGGAAGACCAUUGGAAUUAUUCUGCUUCUUUCCUUCUCCAACCAAAGAGGGACCUUGGAGCCAACACUGCCCUGGAGCACAGGGGUCUGCAGCCCAGCUCCUGCACAGCCCCACCUGCAGCAGCAAGUAACCAAGGCCUCAGAGCUGCAGGUGUUACCCCGUGCUGCUUUCAAACAGCAACAAGACCCAGCUGAAGAGGGCAGAGGGAUCACCAAGAGAACCCUUUAAAUGAACAGCCUCAGCAAAUGGGCAAUCCAUAGGAAACUUCAAUCAUUAAUAAAGGAUCAUGGCCUUCCCCUGGCAGCA